GUUCCUCCAAGGACAUGGAGCUGCUGAGGGCAGCGUCUACAUACAAAACGGGCAUCACAGCGUUUCCUGUGAUCCAGGGCUGAGUCGAAGCUGUCUUGGGAAAUGCAGUUCACUGGUGAAUGAUGACGGAAGUGACAUAGCCCGCAUGCAAUGAAUCUGAAAGAACCGAUGAUUAUACAACAAACAAUUCAGUUUAAACUCUGUACUAGAGAAGGAAGUGGCAGCCCAUUCCAGUACUCUUGCCUGGAAAAUCCCAAGGACGGAGGAGCCUGGAAGGCUACAGUCCAUGGGGUUGCAAAGAGUUGGACACAACCGAGAGACUUCACUUCAGAGAUUACAUAACAACAAUGAAUCCUGUUUGAGGACAGUUUCUCCUUCCUGGAAAACUUCGACUAAUCCUGAUCUCUUAAAAUGUAUAUUAAGGGAGUUGGUCUGGUAGGAUCUUUCUAUUGUUAAGUUCUAAUCCUGUUAUCCUAAAAUGCAAAUUAUGGGAGUGGAUCUGGUAAAAUUUUCACAAACUUGAG
This 524-nucleotide long non-coding RNA is filed under the name Capra hircus (goat). RNAcentral describes it as "lncRNA (ENSCHIG00000002320.1)". The record is from RNAcentral. Lineage: Eukaryota; Metazoa; Chordata; Mammalia; Artiodactyla; Bovidae.